UACGUAGGGUGCGAGCGUUGUCCGGAAUUAUUGGGCGUAAAGAGCUCGUAGGCGGCUUGUCGCGUCGGAUGUGAAAGCCCGAGGCUUAACCUCGGGUCUGCAUUCGAUACGGGCAGGCUAGAGUGUGGUAGGGGAGAUCGGAAUUCCUGGUGUAGCGGUGAAAUGCGCAGAUAUCAGGAGGAACACCGGUGGCGAAGGCGGAUCUCUGGGCCAUUACUGACGCUGAGGAGCGAAAGCGUGGGGAGCGAACAGG
Molecule: ribosomal RNA, 253 nt
Filed under: uncultured bacterium
Lineage: Bacteria
Description: partial 16S ribosomal RNA
Rfam family: Bacterial small subunit ribosomal RNA
Source: RNAcentral